UACGAAGGGGGCUAGCGUUGCUCGGAAUGACUGGGCGUAAAGGGCGCGUAGGCGGAUUUGUCAGUCAGACGUGAAAUUCCUGGGCUUAACCUGGGGGAUGCGUUUGAGACGGCGGGUCUAGAGUUUGGAAGAGGGUCGUGGAAUUCCCAGUGUAGCGGUGAAAUUCGUAGAUAUUGGGAGGAACACCGGUGGCGAAGGCGGCGACCUGGUCCUGGACUGACGCUGAGGCGCGAAAGCGUGGGGAGCAAACAGG
Molecule: ribosomal RNA, 253 nt
Filed under: uncultured bacterium
Lineage: Bacteria
Description: partial 16S ribosomal RNA
Rfam family: Bacterial small subunit ribosomal RNA
Source: RNAcentral